RNAcentral lists this unclassified non-coding RNA (206 nucleotides) under Hevea brasiliensis (rubber tree). Lineage: Eukaryota; Viridiplantae; Streptophyta; Magnoliopsida; Malpighiales; Euphorbiaceae. The record is from RNAcentral.
GGGGAUUUCUAGUUGUUUUCUCUGCAUUACUCUCUUUUCCAGCGGCCAUAUGUAUAUCUUUCCACCUAUUUUUCCCAUACAUAUAUUAUGCACAUUCGUGUACUCCUAGUGCCUUGAGUUGUUCCAGGUUUUUUGAGGUGUGGUGUUCGAUAGUUUGGUUUUGUUCUAGCAUACCGGGUCGUCAAGCCAUCUCUACUAGUUUUGUC